ACUCCUACGGGAGGCAGCAGUGGGGAAUAUUGCACAAUGGGCGCAAGCCUGAUGCAGCCAUGCCGCGUGUAUGAAGAAGGCCUUCGGGUUGUAAAGUACUUUCAGCAGUGAGGAAGGUUCAUGCGUUAAUAGCGUAUGGAUUUGACGUUAGCUGCAGAAGAAGCACCGGCUAACUCCGUGCCAGCAGCCGCGGUAAUACGGAGGGUGCGAGCGUUAAUCGGAAUUACUGGGCGUAAAGCGCAUGCAGGUGGUUUGUUAAGUCAGAUGUGAAAGCCCGGGGCUCAACCUCGGAAUUGCAUUUGAAACUGGCAGACUAGAGUACUGUAGAGGGGGGUAGAAUUUCAGGUGUAGCGGUGAAAUGCGUAGAGAUCUGAAGGAAUACCGGUGCGAAGGCGGCCCCCUGGACAGAUACUGACACUCAGAUGCGAAAGCGUGGGGAGCAAACAGGAUUAGAUACCCUGGUA
Molecule: ribosomal RNA, 464 nt
Filed under: uncultured bacterium
Lineage: Bacteria
Description: bacterial SSU rRNA
Rfam family: Bacterial small subunit ribosomal RNA
Source: RNAcentral